Molecule: non-coding RNA, 21 nt
Filed under: Caenorhabditis elegans
Lineage: Eukaryota; Metazoa; Nematoda; Chromadorea; Rhabditida; Rhabditidae
Source: RNAcentral
UUUUAGAUCUAUAGUCAGUGG